This 325-nucleotide unclassified non-coding RNA is filed under the name Hevea brasiliensis (rubber tree). Lineage: Eukaryota; Viridiplantae; Streptophyta; Magnoliopsida; Malpighiales; Euphorbiaceae. The record is from RNAcentral.
CAACUAUUUUACAAAUAAAAUUACCUAAAUAGUGGUUGCUAGUGGGGAAGAAAUGCAGAAAGGGGAGAGGUUUGACGGCAAGGAGGAUAGCUGGAUACGUUUUAUGCAUUCUAUUUUCUUUUCUUUUUAAGAAACUAAUAAAAUAAGGUAAUUUUAUUUAUAACAUAGUAGACAAGUCAGUAGGUUAACUUGAAAACUUUUAAUUUUUUAUGAUAGUGACUUUUAUGAAAUUAAAUUGAAGAUUAGCAAGUUUUAUGAAAGAAAUUAAAGUUUAAUGACUUUUAUGAAAAUGUUUAUAAAGUUGAGUGACGGCGUAUGAUAUUUA